This 497-nucleotide ribosomal RNA is filed under the name uncultured bacterium. Its description in RNAcentral is "partial 16S ribosomal RNA". It matches the Rfam family "Bacterial small subunit ribosomal RNA", at positions 28 to 507 of the family's 1533-position model. The record is from RNAcentral.
GAUGAACGCUGGCGGCGUGCCUAAUACAUGCAAGUCGAGCGAACGGACGAGAAGCUUGCUUCUCUGAUGUUAGCGGCGGACGGGUGAGUAACACGUGGAUAACCUACCUAUAAGACUGGGAUAACUUCGGGAAACCGGAGCUAAUACCGGAUAAUAUUUUGAACCGCAUGGUUCAAAAGUGAAAGACGGUCUUGCUGUCACUUAUAGAUGGAUCCGCGCUGCAUUAGCUAGUUGGUAAGGUAACGGCUUACCAAGGCAACGAUGCAUAGCCGACCUGAGAGGGUGAUCGGCCACACUGGAACUGAGACACGGUCCAGACUCCUACGGGAGACAGCAGUAGGGAAUCUUCCGCAAUGGGCGAAAGCCUGACGGAGCAACGCCGCGUGAGUGAUGAAGGUCUUCGGAUCGUAAAACUCUGUUAUUAGAGAAGAACAUAUGUGUAAGUAACUGUGCACAUCUUGACGGUACCUAAUCAGAAAGCCACGGCUAACUACGUG